Molecule: ribosomal RNA, 484 nt
Filed under: uncultured bacterium
Lineage: Bacteria
Description: partial 16S ribosomal RNA
Rfam family: Bacterial small subunit ribosomal RNA
Source: RNAcentral
AUUGAACGCUGGCGGCAGGCCUAACACAUGCAAGUCGAGCGGAUGAAGGGAGCUUGCUCCUGGAUUCAGCGGCGGACGGGCGAGUAAUGCCUAGGAAUCUGCCUGGCAGUGGGGGAUAACGUCCGGAAACGGGCGCUAAUACCGCAUACGUCCUGAGGGAGAAAGUGGGGGAUCUUCGGACCUCACGCUAUCAGAUGAGCCUAGGUCGGAUUAGCUAGUUGGUGGGGUAAAGGCCUACCAAGGCGACGAUCCGUAACUGGUCUGAGAGGAUGAUCAGUCACACUGGAACUGAGACACGGUCCAGACUCCUACGGGAGGCAGCAGUGGGGAAUAUUGGACAAUGGGCGAAAGCCUGAUCCAGCCAUGCCGCGUGUGUGAAGAAGGUCUUCGGAUUGUAAAGCACUUUAGGUUGGGAGGAAGGGCAGUAAGUUAAUACCUUGCUGUUUUGACGUUACCAACAGAAUAAGCACCGGCUAACUUCGUG